This 253-nucleotide ribosomal RNA is filed under the name uncultured bacterium. RNAcentral's name for it is "partial 16S ribosomal RNA". It matches the Rfam family "Bacterial small subunit ribosomal RNA", at positions 524 to 776 of the family's 1533-position model. The record is from RNAcentral.
UACGUAGGGGGCAAGCGUUGUCCGGAAUCAUUGGGCGUAAAGCGCGCGUAGGCGGCCCGGUAAGUCCGCUCUGAAAGUCCAGGGCUCAACCCUGGAAAGCGGGUGGAUACUGCCGGGCUAGAAUCCGGAAGAGGCGAGUGGAAUUCCCGGUGUAGCGGUGAAAUGCGCAGAUAUCGGGAAGAACACCCGUGGCGAAGGCGGUUCUCUGGGACGGUACUGACGCUGAGACGCGAAAGCGUGGGGAGCGAACAGG